RNAcentral lists this ribosomal RNA (1313 nucleotides) under Nephropsis grandis. RNAcentral's name for it is "16S ribosomal RNA". The stretch from base 620 to 1313 matches the Rfam family "Archaeal large subunit ribosomal RNA", at positions 1423 to 2802 of the family's 2987-position model. The record is from RNAcentral. Lineage: Eukaryota; Metazoa; Arthropoda; Malacostraca; Decapoda; Nephropidae.
ACAUUAAAUAGGGAGUCUACGGGUAUAAGAAAACUAUUUUUAUAUUUUAAAAAAUAAGUAGAAAUUUUUGAAUCGAAAAUUUAGAGACGGCUAAAGUCAAUAGUAUCGUGAGAGAAUAGUGAAAUAUUGAAAAUUUAACAAGGUAGAAGCAAAAGUGAAUUUUUGUACCUUGUGUAUCAGGGGCAGUCAAAAUUAUGAAAUUAAUUUUUUUAUCCCGAAAGGAGAUAAGCUAAGUUAUUAAAGGGGGUUUUGUAGCAUGAAAAUCUUAAAUAUUAGCUUAGGGGUGAAAUGCCAGGCGAAUUUUUUGAUAUCUGGUCCUCAAAGAAGUGAAUUUAAUUCAAUUCUAGUAAUAAUAUUAUACUAGAGGUAAAAAUAGGAGGGAAGAGCUUCUUGUUUAAGUUUAAGUAGGUAUAGCGGAGAUAGAUAGUAGUAGUUAUACUAGGCUUAGAAGUAGCUAGGUAAUUAGAGUGUUUUAACUAAUAUUUAGGCGAUAGUUAUUUUUAUCCGCUUACAAGAAUAUUUGAGAAUAUAAAAAAUCUUUGUAUUUGUAGAUAAAAUGAUUUUAUUAGUAUAAAAUUUUAUUAGAUAAAAGAAUAAAAUAGUGAUUAAUAUAUAAGUAUAGUAUUGAUUAGAGCUUAAGGAAUUCGGCAAAUCUAGCUUUUGCCUGUUUAUCAAAAACAUGUCUUUAUGGUGAUUUAUAGAGUCUGGCCUGCCCACUGGAGAAAUCUAAAGGGCCGCGGUAUUUUAACCGUGCAAAGGUAGCAUAGUCAUUAGGCUUUUAAUUGGGGUCUUGUAUGAAUGGCCGGACAAGAAGCUAUCUGUCUCGAGAAUAAAAAUUGAAAUUGACUUUCAGGUGAAAAGGCUUGAAUAUUUUAAAGGGACGAUAAGACCCUAUAAAGCUUAAUAAUUUAUAUAUAUUUAAAUAAUUUGUUAGUAUAAUAUAAUUUAAUUUAUAAAUUAUUUCGUUGGGGCGACGGUAAUAUAAUUUGUAACUGUUUAAGUACUUAAUUCAAAAAUAUUUGUGUUUAGUGAUCUGUUGUUGACAAUUAAAAGUUAAAGUUACUUUAGGGAUAACAGCGUUAUUUAUUUUGAGAGUUCAUAUCGACAAAGAAGUUUGCGACCUCGAUGUUGAAUUAAAAUUUUAUCUCGGCGUAGCAGUUAAGAUAGUAGGUCUGUUCGACCUUUAAAAUUUUACAUGAUUUGAGUUCAAACCGGCGUGAGCCAGGUUGGUUUCUAUCUUUUAGAAAUAGAAAGAUUACUUUAGUACGAAAGGAUUAAGUAGCCGGAAUAAUUUUUAAUCGGGGAUAGACAUU